GCGCUUGUAGCUCAAUUGGAUAGAGCGUCUGACUACGGAUCAGGAGGUUGGGGGUUCGAUUCCCUCCAAGCGCG
RNAcentral lists this transfer RNA (74 nucleotides) under Nitrospinota bacterium. Its description in RNAcentral is "tRNA-Arg". It matches the Rfam family "tRNA". From Rfam's summary of the family: Transfer RNA (tRNA) molecules are approximately 80 nucleotides in length. RNAcentral also lists the same sequence under 1 other name. Lineage: Bacteria; Pseudomonadati; Nitrospinota. The record is from RNAcentral.